RNAcentral lists this ribosomal RNA (468 nucleotides) under uncultured bacterium. RNAcentral describes it as "partial 16S ribosomal RNA". It matches the Rfam family "Bacterial small subunit ribosomal RNA", at positions 28 to 507 of the family's 1533-position model. The record is from RNAcentral.
AACGAACGCUGGCGGCGUGCUUAACACAUGCAAGUCGAACGGAAAGGCCCUGCUUUUGUGGGGUGCUCGAUUGGCGAACGGGUGAGUAACACGUGAGUAACCUGCCCUUGUCUUUGGGAUAACUUCAGGAAACUGGGGCUAAUACCGGAUCGGAUCUCCUGCUGCAUGGUGGGGGUUGGAAAGUUUCGGCGGUUGGGGAUGGACUCGCGGCUUAUCAGCUUGUUGGUGGGGUAGUGGCUUACCAAGGCUUUGACGGGUAGCCGGCCUGAGAGGGUGACCGGCCACAUUGGGACUGAGAUACGGCCCAGACUCCUACGGGAGGCAGCAGUGGGGAAUAUUGCACAAUGGGCGGAAGCCUGAUGCAGCAACGCCGCGUGCGGGAUGACGGCCUUCGGGUUGUAAACCGCUGUCGCCUGUGACGAAGCGUGAGUGACGGUAAUGGGUAAAGAAGCACCGGCUAACUACGUG